CGGCUGGGUUCAUGUACCAGGCUUGUUCUGGGAUCUGCCUCGGUAUCUUAUUAGUUUUCACUGGAUCUUCAAUUGCUGGCUUCUUGAAACCAAUAUAACUACCAACAAAGACGAGCGGAACUGAGAUACCAAACCACAAAAAUACCAGUGCAAACAUGGUUCCGAAUGGCACUGCCCCAGAGGAUUUCUCACCCCAUAUUAAAGCGUUCAAUACAAAGAAAAUGGCAAAGACUACUGCAGGAAACAUGAAUGCGGUUUUGAGGGUGAUUUUCUUCCAUUCUGUUCCCUUGAACAACUUAUAGAGACGAGCUGAAGAGUAUCCAGCAAACAGGCCCAUAAAUACCCAGAGUAGGAGCAUGGCUGUCAUCAACCCACCUCGGUUUGAAGGGGAAAGGAAACCCAGGGCAGCAAAGAUCAUGGUAACAAGAAUCAUCCCAAGAAACUGAACCCCUGUCCCAACAUAGACACAGAGUAAAUCUGAAUUUGAUGGAGGCCUGAAAACAUCCCCAUGGACCAAUUUCCACCCAGUCUCUUCUUGGGCUUCUUCUUGCGUCUCUAAUUGGUUGUACUUGGAGAUAUCCCGGUAAAGUGUCCGCAACAUGAUCAUAGCCACCAUUCCCGAAAGGAAAAGAACAAUCAUCAAUG
This 645-nucleotide unclassified non-coding RNA is filed under the name Hevea brasiliensis (rubber tree). Lineage: Eukaryota; Viridiplantae; Streptophyta; Magnoliopsida; Malpighiales; Euphorbiaceae. The record is from RNAcentral.